AGUUAAUAGAAUAGAUUAGGUUCAAUUAAAAUAUUUUAAUUGAUUAAAAGGGAAGUUGGGUGUAAAUCCCACGCGAUCCCGUCGCUGUAAGAGAGGAAUUUUCCUAGAUAUACCACUGAACUUUUGUUUGGGAAGGUUAGGAAAGUAUUGAUUCUUUAGCCAGAAUACCUGCCUAGAUCUAAACACAGUUA
This 191-nucleotide non-coding RNA is filed under the name Clostridium argentinense CDC 2741. The record is from RNAcentral. Lineage: Bacteria; Bacillati; Bacillota; Clostridia; Eubacteriales; Clostridiaceae.